RNAcentral lists this long non-coding RNA (1177 nucleotides) under Betta splendens (Siamese fighting fish). RNAcentral describes it as "lncRNA (ENSBSLG00000013488.1)". The record is from RNAcentral. Lineage: Eukaryota; Metazoa; Chordata; Actinopteri; Anabantiformes; Osphronemidae.
CGGGAGGUUGAGACACUGCUGCCUUUCAAGUCCAUUUACUGUAGUUGUGCAUCAGGUCUUAUCAUCAGAACGAAGUUCAACGUGUCAUCAAACCAUAAAACAAUUAGAGUUGCACUGUUCAUGAAACGUCUUCCAAAUAUUUACUGACGUCAUACUUGUUUUUACUAAGUGUUAUGUCUGUGUAUUAUUCUCAUUUGGCUCUUAUCUAUUCGUGUUGUUCCCUUUUUGUGGUGUUGUGGUUUCUCUCUCGUCUUUGGUGUUUUUUCUCAUUCUCAUUCUCAUUUUGUUUCUCCUUUUGGUGAGAUUUUUGCUCCGCCGGCUCGUUUGUGCCGUUGAUCGCACCUCCAGCCUCGGUGUUUGGAGUGAGGGGGUACUUUUACAGGGAUGCGCGUCUACUUUUAGCGGUACCUCAUGAUAUCCCACCCCCCGCUGCGCGCCUGAAACUUAGAAAGGCGCAGGUUAAAAUAGCCCUCGCCUCGUGAAGCCUGUACAGACGCAAUGCGCCUGCGCAACCGAGCUGUGGCGCGCGCCGCUCUCUCCAGCGGCUGCAUCGGUGCGUAAAGCGCGUGGGCAACAGGUACCGUGAGUCCGGACCACUGAGGCUCUGAACAUCGACUUUACCCACACAUGUGUUCGCGUCUGACGGUCUAAAACUUCCCCGGACGCCCGCGUCCACCAACAGGGUCAGAACUCGUGGGAGCCGAACUCCAGAACCGGGACGGGACCUCCGCCAUGCCUCAGUCGCCAGCGUGUUGAGGUCCCCGCAUUGUUUGUGUCAGACACUCAAGGGCGAUAACAUCACAUUCGUUGGAGUUGCCCCGCACACGAGGCGCGCAUCACCCCCACGGGGUCUGACUUUGGGAGCAGGUUUGAGGCCGUCUCAUUCCUGCGCUCAUACCAGGCGUAAACAUGCAAACAAACAGCGGGCUUUAUUAAUCGCACUGGAAGGCGUGUGCCUGGCUGUGGGCAGACAGCGGGUGUAGGUGGUGGGUGAUACACCUGGAGACUGUCAAAGGGAAGUAACGAGAAGAAGAUGGAAAAAACACACAAAGUGACCAAAAAUAGCCUGAAUGUGAGUAAGGCUGAAACAACAAAUGUCGUUGUUUGUUGUGUCUUCUACGUGGGAUAAGUUGAGUUUUCCUGUUUACUGUUCACUGAGCCGUGAUUGGUCAGCUGC